Molecule: non-coding RNA, 611 nt
Organism: Benincasa hispida (wax gourd)
Lineage: Eukaryota; Viridiplantae; Streptophyta; Magnoliopsida; Cucurbitales; Cucurbitaceae
Source: RefSeq, a predicted model, not a curated record
CCCCUUGAGAAAACCUAGCCGUCGACGAUAGCUCAGUUUUUCGUCGAACCCGACGCCGAUGAGCAGUUGACAAUUCGAAGCCCCCUCAGCGCACCGGCUGGUCAGAGCAGACGCCUCGUCCGCUGCGUUCCGUCGAGAGUCCAGAUCCGAAGGCACCUGCUGUGUUCCGUCGAGAGCCGCUCGCCCAAUUUCUCUAGCUCGUCCAGCCGAGCUCCUUUGCGCGUCACUUGUCCGGUUGGUCUCCUCUGUCGUUCGCCUAGCACCGAUCGUACGCGAGCACCGCUUCAAGCCACGUCCACCACCCCAGGUUUUUCGCCACCAGUUAUCGUCACCCUACCACGUCGGGUCUGUCUUGGUCUUCGUCAGAUCUGUUGGGCUAAAAUCGUCAAGGAGUUUGGAAGUCAAAGGAGGCACUGUCGAGAAAGGUGGAAGUGAUUUUCAUUCUGAGAUCGCUACUUUGGAUUUGCCGUUAUAGUUUGGUGGUCUAAUUUUUAUCUGUAGAGUAUCGACUCGAGGUAAGGGUAGAGAUGCACCGGUGAUGGCUUAACGGAAUUCGCGAUCGUGCCACUGGGACUAGUAUUUACGCUUCCGCAUCAUGACAUUUAGAGUCC